Molecule: ribosomal RNA, 3303 nt
Filed under: Adineta vaga
Lineage: Eukaryota; Metazoa; Rotifera; Eurotatoria; Adinetida; Adinetidae
Description: eukaryotic LSU rRNA
Rfam family: Eukaryotic large subunit ribosomal RNA
Source: RNAcentral
GUAACAACAUCUCGGGGACUGAACAUCAUAAAAACAUGUAGAAGAUGCCACGUAGCUGACGAAAGUCUCAUGCAUGUGCUCCAAUAUUGCUCUUCUACCAAAGGUUUACGAUACUCUCGUCAUCACAGAAUAUGUGCCAAAGUAGCAAAUAAAUUGAUGAAGAAUGGUUAUGGUGUAUAUCGUGAGAAGAGUUAUCCAGAUCCAAACAACUCAGGUUCAUACCUUCGACCAGAUUUAAUCGCAGUAAAAGAUGGUCAUGUUAUUGUUCUUGAUGUAACGGUUGUGUACGAAGUAACUGGUGCUACGUUUAUUAAUGCCUACCAAACAAAAGUAAAUAAAUAUAAUACGAUUAUGGUACAAAUCGAGCAAAUGUUCAAUUGUGUUAGUGGUGUACUGCAUGGUCUAGUAAUUGGAUCACGUGGUUCAAUUCAUCACAGUCAACUCCACAUCUGGCAUCAAAUGGGAUUCUCUUCCACAGAACUCAAAUAUGUGGCUAUAGGAUGCAUGGAAGAUUCGCUCAGAAUUAUGUCCACAUUCUCAAAAGCUAUUUUAUAAACUAAUCUCCUUCUUCUAUUAGUCAGUCUAAUUAAUUUUUCCUACACUCUACAUCUAGUUCCAUUAAUAAUCUGGUAUGAUCAGUGCUAUCUCUGCUACACUCAAUGCUUAAUCGCAUGCUAUUGACAGUCUAACACUUGAUUACUCUUACGACAUAUGCAUUGCUUGCCUCAGAGAAACCACUGAUCAUAUAGUGAAGUUCCUUAGUUUUUUGUUGAUAUAUUCUUCUUUCAUUCUCGCUUCGCUUUUUCUACUGUGUUCUUUUUAUCAGUUUUUUGUGGAAAAAUUGAGAAUUAAUAAAGUUAGCUGGUUCCGUCCGAAGUUUCCCUCAGGAUAGCUGGCAUUCAAUUUUCACAGUUAUAUCCGGUAAAGCGAAUGUUUAGAGGCAUUGGGCGUAAAAUACGCUCAACCUAUUGACAAACUUUAAAUGGGUAUGAAGUUCAUUUUUCUACUUCAUUGAGAAUGAACAGCGAAUGUGAGUGCCAAGUGGGCCAUUUUUGGUAAGCAGAACUGGCGCUGUUGGAUGCACAAAACGUCAAGAUAAAGAGCCAGAUGGUCUCGCUCAUCVRKCAGAUACCAUAAAAGGUGUUGGUCGAUAUAGACAGCAGGACGGUGGCCAUGGAAGUCGGAAUCCGUUAAGGAGUGUGUAACAACUCACCUGCCGAAUCGACUAGUCCUAAAAAUGGAUGGCGCUCGAGCGAGCCUCUUAUACUUGACUGUUACGAUACAACAAGCCAUUAACGGACAUCAUGUCGUAACAAGUAGGACGGUUGAUAUGGUUGCGUCGAAGGCUAACACGUGAGUGUGGCUUGAGCAGUCAUAUGUACAGAUCUUAGUGGUAGUAGCAACUAUUCAAAUGAGAACUUUGAAGACUGACGUGGAGAAAGGUUCCAUGUGAACAGCUAUUGGACAUGGGUCAGUCAGUCCUAAGAUGCGCUCGAAAGAGGGUUCCCGAACGAGGAAUAUCUAUAUUCAUAUCAUAUUUAUAUUCCAUCAAAUCGAAAGGGAAACAAGUUAAUAUUCUUGUACUAAGUGUCGGAGAUUGUUUGAUUUCGUGUCAAACAUAUGUGGUAACACAAACAAGCUCAAAUACAUCACAAGUGGUCCUGGAAAGAGUUUUCUCUUCUUUGUUACUUCAUCAGACGACCCUGGAAUCAGUUCAACUGGAGAUAGGGUUCAAAUGAAGGUAAAGAGUAGCCGUUCUUGCUACUUCCUCGGUGCAUCAUUUGUGAUCCUUGAAAAUUUGAGCGAGAUAUUCAAUUUCGCACUCAUCUGUACUCUAAACCGCAUCAGGUCUCCAAGGUGAAAAGCCUCUAGUCAAUUAGAACAAGGUAGCACAAGGGAAGUCGGCAAAAUCGAUCGGCAACUUCGGGAUAACGAUUGGCUCUAAGUGCUAGGGUGUUCGGGCUUGAUGAUAAAGCAGUAGACUUGCUAUUGGAGCUGAGCUUUCGGAUGCAGCAAUGUGUCUGAUCGUUCGGACUAGUGGCUUGUCUUGCUGUGGAAUCGUUUUGCUACGGUAUGCGGUUCGCUUGCGGGCCGUAUUACUUCGGACAUCGUUUAAUAGCAAACUUAGAACUCGCUGCGUCUAGGGGAAUCCGACUGUCUAAUUAAAACAGAGCUUUGCGAUUGGCCGGAAAACUUGGUGUUGACGCAAAGUGAUUUCUGCCCAGUGCUCUGAAUGUUAACGUGAAGAAAUUCAAAUAAGCGCGGGUAAACGGCGGGAGUAACUAUGACUCUCUUCUGGUAGCCAAAUGCCUCGUCAUCUAAUUAGUGACGCGCAUGAAUGGAUUAACGAGAUUCCCACUGUCCCUGUCUACUAUCUAGCGAAACCACAGCCAAGGGAACGGGCUUGGACUUCAAUGCGGGGAAAGAAGACCCUGUUGAGCUUGACUCUAAUCUGUCUUCGUAAAGAGACUUGAAAAGUGUAGCGUAGAUGGGAGUGGCAACACGUCAAUGAAACACCAUUAUUUUCAUUGUUUCUUUACUUACUUGGUUAUACAGAGAUUGGAUUUUACAUCCAGUGUUUGAGUGACAAACGUCGAUACUUGUAUCAACGUGAUCUGCUUCAAGGAAAGAGACAGGUGGGGAGUUUGGCUGGGGCGGUACAUCUAUCAAAUGUUAACGUAGGUGUCCAAAAGUUGACUCAGUGCGGACAGAAACCACACAUUGAGUAAAAGGGCAUAAGUCAGCUUGAUUUAGAUUUUCAGUACGAAUACAGACGGAGAAAUCCGGGCCUAUCGAUCCUUUUGAUUUAACGAGUUUUUUGCAAGAGGUGACAGAAAAGUUACCACAGGGAUAACUGGCUUGUGGCGGCCAAGCGUUCAUAGCGACGUCGCUUUUUGAUCCUUCGAUGUCGGCUCUUCCUAUCAUUGCGAAGCAGACUUCGCAAAGUGUUGGAUUGUUCACCCACCAAUAGGGAACGUGAGCUGGGUUUAGACCGUCGUGAGACAGGUUAGUUUUACCCUACAUUGGAUUUUGUCAUUGAUAUAGGAAUCGUACUUAGUACGAGAGGAACCGUACGUUCGGACAUUUGGUUUACGUAUUUGUUCGAAAGGACAAUGAUGCGAAGCUACCAUCCGACGGCUUACAACUGAACGCCUCUAAGUUGGAAUCCGAUCUAGACUCAAUGAUUUUUUGGCACAUUGGUUGUCGUCAGCACAUUUAUAUAUGUUCAAACUGUUGAUCAAGUGAACAUAUGAAUGAAGCUACCGUGUUGUUGCCUCGUCAUAAUCGAAAUGAGAUUGUGAU